GGGGGCGUAGCUCAGUGGUAGAGCAUUUGUGGCAGGUCCCAGAUCCAAUCCCUGGCAUCUCCA
RNAcentral lists this transfer RNA (63 nucleotides) under Podarcis lilfordi (Lilford's wall lizard). It matches the Rfam family "tRNA". From Rfam's summary of the family: Transfer RNA (tRNA) molecules are approximately 80 nucleotides in length. The record is from Rfam by way of RNAcentral. Lineage: Eukaryota; Metazoa; Chordata; Lepidosauria; Squamata; Lacertidae.